This 524-nucleotide ribosomal RNA is filed under the name uncultured bacterium. Its description in RNAcentral is "partial 16S ribosomal RNA". It matches the Rfam family "Bacterial small subunit ribosomal RNA", at positions 28 to 523 of the family's 1533-position model. The record is from RNAcentral.
GACGAACGCUGGCGGCGUGCCUAAUACAUGCAAGUCGAGCGCAGGAAACUGACGGAACUCUUCGGAGGGAAGGCAGUGGAAUGAGCGGCGGACGGGUGAGUAACACGUAAGGAACCUGCCUCAAGGAUUGGGAUAACUCCGAGAAAUCGGAGCUAAUACCGGAUAGUUCAACGGACCGCAUUGUCCGUUGAUGAAUGGCGCUCCGGCGUCACCUUGAGAUGGCCUUGCGGUGCAUUAGCUAGUUGGCGGGGUAACGGCUCACCAAGGCGACGAUGCAUAGCCGACCUGAGAGGGUGAUCGGCCACACUGGGACUGAGACACGGCCCAGACUCCUACGGGAGGCAGCAGUAGGGAAUCUUCCACAAUGGACGAAAGUCUGAUGGAGCAACGCCGCGUGAGUGAUGAAGGUUUUCGGAUCGUAAAACUCUGUUGUAAGGGAAGAACACGUACGAGAGGAAAUGCUCGUACCUUGACGGUACCUUACGAGAAAGCCACGGCUAACUACGUGCCAGCCGCCGCGGUAA